AGAGUUGUAUCCUGGCUCAGAUUGAACGCUGGCGGCAUGCCUUACACAUGCAAGUCGAACGGCAGCACGGGAGCAAUCCUGGUGGCGAGUGGCGAACGGGUGAGUAAUAUAUCGGAACGUGCCCAGUCGUGGGGGAUAACGUAGCGAAAGCUACGCUAAUACCGCAUACGAUCUAUGGAUGAAAGCGGGGGAUCGCAAGACCUCGCGCGAUUGGAGCGGCCGAUAUCAGAUUAGGUAGUUGGUGAGGUAAAGGCUCACCAAGCCGACGAUCUGUAGCUGGUCUGAGAGGACGACCAGCCACACUGGGACUGAGACACGGCCCAGACUCCUACGGGAGGCAGCAGUGGGGAAUUUUGGACAAUGGGCGCAAGCCUGAUCCAGCAAUGCCGCGUGCAGGAUGAAGGCCUUCGGGUUGUAAACUGCUUUUGUACGGAACGAAACGGUGAGCUCUAAUACAGUUUGCUAAUGACGGUACCGUAAGAAUAAGCACCGGCUAACUACGUGCCAGCAGCCGCGGUAAUACGUAGGGUGCGAGCGUUAAUCGGAAUUACUGGGCGUAAAGCGUGCGCAGGCGGUGAUGUAAGACAGAUGUGAAAUCCCCGGGCUCAACCUGGGACCUGCAUUUGUGACUGCAUCGCUAGAGUACGGUAGAGGGGGAUGGAAUUCCGCGUGUAGCA
Molecule: ribosomal RNA, 677 nt
Filed under: uncultured beta proteobacterium
Lineage: Bacteria; Pseudomonadati; Pseudomonadota; Betaproteobacteria
Description: bacterial SSU rRNA
Rfam family: Bacterial small subunit ribosomal RNA
Source: RNAcentral